RNAcentral lists this non-coding RNA (65 nucleotides) under Enterobacteriaceae bacterium JKS000233. RNAcentral also lists the same sequence under 1 other name. The record is from RNAcentral. Lineage: Bacteria; Pseudomonadati; Pseudomonadota; Gammaproteobacteria; Enterobacterales; Enterobacteriaceae.
AAGAGCACGACAUUGCUCACAUUGCUUCCAGUAUUAGUUGCCCGCACGCUGUGCGGGCUUUUUUU